GGGCAUUUGGUCUAGUGGUAUGAUUCUCGCUUCAGAUGCAAGAAGUCUUGAGUUCGAUUCAAAAUACUUU
Transfer RNA from Gossypium raimondii (Peruvian cotton), 70 nucleotides. It matches the Rfam family "tRNA". From Rfam's summary of the family: Transfer RNA (tRNA) molecules are approximately 80 nucleotides in length. Their secondary structure includes four short double-helical elements and three loops (D, anti-codon, and T loops). Further hydrogen bonds mediate the characteristic L-shaped molecular structure. tRNAs have two regions of fundamental functional importance: the anti-codon, which is responsible for specific mRNA codon recognition, and the 3' end, to which the tRNAs corresponding amino acid is attached (by aminoacyl-tRNA synthetases). tRNAs cope with the degeneracy of the genetic code in two manners: having more than one tRNA (with a specific anti-codon) for a particular amino acid; and 'wobble' base-pairing, i.e. permitting non-standard base-pairing at the 3rd anti-codon position. The record is from Rfam. NCBI's taxonomy places the organism in Eukaryota, Viridiplantae, Streptophyta, Magnoliopsida, Malvales, Malvaceae.